AUGCCAUCUCUAACUCUGAUUUUCAUUGUACACUCCUUCCGAGAAUCCUCCCUGGACAGUUUCAGAAGCCACCAGCCCCACCAUGGACUUCCUUGCAGAUCUGAAGAAACUGGCAGCCCCCUUCUGAGUGACCCACACUUUGGAAUGAAGUACAGUUGGCAAGCAAAAGGAAAUGCUGGACGAGGAGAGGAUGAUGAGGCACCUCAUUGUGGGACAUUCUACCCUGAAGUCUGAUCCAAUCCUGAAUCAUUCCUGCUCCCAGGGAACCUGGUGAGAUCAUUUUUCAUUCUGA
Molecule: long non-coding RNA, 292 nt
Filed under: Neogale vison (American mink)
Lineage: Eukaryota; Metazoa; Chordata; Mammalia; Carnivora; Mustelidae
Description: Neovison vison (American mink) lncRNA (ENSNVIG00000012337.1)
Source: RNAcentral